Mugil cephalus (flathead mullet) is the source of this 720-nucleotide long non-coding RNA. RefSeq lists it as uncharacterized. The transcript is spliced from 2 exons. Lineage: Eukaryota; Metazoa; Chordata; Actinopteri; Mugiliformes; Mugilidae. The record is from RefSeq and is a predicted model, not a curated record.
GAAAAGGGUGCUGGCCACAACAGACUGGUAGAAGAUCUCCAGCAUCACACGUUGAAGGAUCUCAGCUUCCUCGGGAAGUAGAGUCUGCUGCAGGCCUUCUUGUACACAGCUGUACUGUUGGUCAUUUAGUUCAGUCUGCUGUCGAUGGUCACUCCCAGGUAUUUGUACUCCUCCACCACAUCCACAUCCCUGCCAAGGAUGCUGAGGGGCUGAGGAAGAAAGUGAUUCUCACUGAGUGUUGAGUUGAGCUGAAGGCCGCCCCCUCUGGCUGGUUACAUCAGGGUCGGGUGUGUCUCCCAGCCAGGAGGCAGCUGAUUAAGUGCACCAGGUGGAGACAAUCUGGAAAUCAGGAUGGUUUGGAGGCACUCACUCACAGGGCAUUGAGGAGCGAGGAGUGUGUGAAGGAACUGGUGCUUGGGAAAAGGAGACUGCAGGAUAGAAGAAGGAGCCGGAAAAUGACCCCAAACACACCUCCAGGGCUAUUUGACCAAGAAGGAGAGAUGAAGUGCUGCACCAGAUGACCUCGUCUCCAGUCACCUGACCUAAACCCAAUCGAGAUAGUUUGGGAUGAUAUGAAUUACAGAGUCGAGGCAAAUGGACUGUUGGAAAAUCAUUUCAGAUGAAGCUCAUUGAGAGAAUGCUACAAGUGUGCAAAGCAGUAAUCAAAGUGAAGGGUGGCUAUUUUGAAGAAUCUAAAAUAUAAAACAUGCUUUGAGUUCU